GACGAACGCUGGCGGCGUGCUUAACACAUGCAAGUCGAACGGAAAGGCCCUGCUUUUGUGGGGUGCUCGAGUGGCGAACGGGUGAGUAACACGUGAGUAACCUGCCCUUGACUUUGGGAUAACUUCAGGAAACUGGGGCUAAUACCGGAUAGGAGCUCCUGCUGCAUGGUGGGGGUUGGAAAGUUUCGGCGGUUGGGGAUGGACUCGCGGCUUAUCAGCUUGUUGGUGGGGUAGUGGCUUACCAAGGCUUUGACGGGUAGCCGGCCUGAGAGGGUGACCGGCCACAUUGGGACUGAGAUACGGCCCAGACUCCUACGGGAGGCAGCAGUGGGGAAUAUUGCACAGUGGGAGGAAGCCUGAUGCAGCAACGCCGCGUGCGGGAUGACGGCCUUCGGGUUGUAAACCGCUGUCGCCUGUGACGAAGCGGGAGUGACGGUAAUGGGUAAAGAAGCACCGGCUAACUACGUG
RNAcentral lists this ribosomal RNA (468 nucleotides) under uncultured bacterium. Its description in RNAcentral is "partial 16S ribosomal RNA". It matches the Rfam family "Bacterial small subunit ribosomal RNA", at positions 28 to 507 of the family's 1533-position model. The record is from RNAcentral.